RNAcentral lists this ribosomal RNA (480 nucleotides) under uncultured prokaryote. Its description in RNAcentral is "partial 16S ribosomal RNA". The record is from RNAcentral.
CCCUAUGGGGUGCAAAGCAAUACCGGAUUUGCUACUAUAAAUAUGAUUUUAAGGGAAAUGCGUUUGUUUCUGAAUCAGGAAGCAUCCCCCCCGUGAUGACAAACAUGUUUUCAAAACUUCCCCAAUCGGCAUUGCGAACUCUGGGCAGAAUUUUAUAUCGACACAUGGGCUAAGACCCUGAUUGAAUUUUUGAGACUUUUGAAAAACGACACAAUGUCAUUGCGAAGUGAAGCAAUCUCAUGAUCUUAUGGAUAUUCAAGAGAUUGCCGCGUCUCUUCGCGCCUCAAAGAUGCGAGGGGUAGUUUUUCAAAAGACUCUCAUUCCAUGUGCUUAGCUAUGUCAAGUCGAGGGUCAGCGAAGAAUCUGAUACCGGAACAAGGGGUUGCAACCCCUUGUUCUACAAAAUAGUUUCUUCGGCUAAAGCCUAAGAAUAAUAUGGGGUAGAGUAAUAGAGGUGCUGUCCCUCGCUGGCGGGAGGGC